RNAcentral lists this transfer RNA (76 nucleotides) under Candidatus Chloroploca asiatica. RNAcentral's name for it is "tRNA-Thr". It matches the Rfam family "tRNA". Rfam says of the family: Transfer RNA (tRNA) molecules are approximately 80 nucleotides in length. Their secondary structure includes four short double-helical elements and three loops (D, anti-codon, and T loops). Lineage: Bacteria; Bacillati; Chloroflexota; Chloroflexia; Chloroflexales; Oscillochloridaceae. RNAcentral also lists the same sequence under 3 other names. The record is from RNAcentral.
GCCAAUGUAGCUCAGUUGGUAGAGCAGCUGUUUCGUAAACAGCAGGUCAGGGGUUCGAGCCCCCUCAUUGGCUCCA